UCCGUAGGUGGAUAAUUAAGUCAGAGGUGAAAUCCUGCCGCUCAACGGUAGAAUUGCCUUUGAUACUGGUUAUCUUGAAUCAAUGUGAAGUGGUUAGAAUAUGUAGUGUAGCGGUGAAAUGCAUAGAUAUUACAUAGAAUACCAAUUGCGAAGGCAGAUCACUAACAUUGUAUUGACACUGAUGGACGAAAGCGUGGGGAGCGAACAGGAUUAGAUACCCUGGUAGUC
This 228-nucleotide ribosomal RNA is filed under the name uncultured bacterium. Its description in RNAcentral is "partial 16S ribosomal RNA". It matches the Rfam family "Bacterial small subunit ribosomal RNA", at positions 568 to 795 of the family's 1533-position model. The record is from RNAcentral.